This 115-nucleotide small nuclear RNA is filed under the name Crocodylus porosus (Australian saltwater crocodile). Lineage: Eukaryota; Metazoa; Chordata; Crocodylia; Crocodylidae. The record is from RNAcentral.
GUAGAUCCCUUCCCACAAGCCCACAUACCACUGCUAAUAUUGGAACAAAACAGAAAGGAUUAACAUGGCACUGCACAAGGAGGACAAAUUUCAUGAAGUAGUCUAUAUUAAGUGU